This 74-nucleotide transfer RNA is filed under the name Elusimicrobiota bacterium. Its description in RNAcentral is "Elusimicrobia bacterium (groundwater metagenome) tRNA-Ile". It matches the Rfam family "tRNA". From Rfam's summary of the family: Transfer RNA (tRNA) molecules are approximately 80 nucleotides in length. Lineage: Bacteria; Pseudomonadati; Elusimicrobiota. The record is from RNAcentral.
GCGCCCGUAGCUCAGUUGGUUAGAGCAGCCCGCUCAUAUCGGGUUGGUCGCAGGUUCAAGUCCUGCCGGGCGCA